UGGGGAAUUUUGGACAAUGGGGGAAACCCUGAUCCAGCCAUCCCGCGUGUGCGAUGAAGGCCUUCGGGUUGUAAAGCACUUUUGGCAGGAAAGAAACGUCAUGGGUUAAUACCCCGUGAAACUGACGGUACCUGCAGAAUAAGCACCGGCUAACUACGUGCCAGCAGCCGCGGUAAUACGUAGGGUGCAAGCGUUAAUCGGAAUUACUGGGCGUAAAGCGUGCGCAGGCGGUUCGGAAAGAAAGAUGUGAAAUCCCAGAGCUCAACUUUGGAACUGCAUUUUUAACUACCGGGCUAGAGUGUGUCAGAGGGAGGUGGAAUUCCGCGUGUAGCAGUGAAAUGCGUAGAUAUGCGGAGGAACACCGAUGGCGAAGGCAGCCUCCUGGGAUAACACUGACGCUCAUACACGAAAGCGUGGGGAGCAAACAGG
RNAcentral lists this ribosomal RNA (429 nucleotides) under Acidobacteriota bacterium. Its description in RNAcentral is "Acidobacteria bacterium partial 16S ribosomal RNA". It matches the Rfam family "Bacterial small subunit ribosomal RNA", at positions 355 to 776 of the family's 1533-position model. Lineage: Bacteria; Pseudomonadati; Acidobacteriota. The record is from RNAcentral.